UCCCAGUUUGGGAAUAGCACAGCUUCUUCGUCGUUCUAAUCAAACCAGGAUGAAUAACUUUGUAAGAAGCUUUAUUUGGAUACAUAAAGUGGUGGAGAAUCACCAGGAAGUUGAUAUGAUCAUGGACCAGCCAAACAAAGAAGAUAAUGAGAGCAUGGAUGAUCCUGCUGAUGGAGGAGCUCUAGCCAUAUCUGAAGGUCCUAUGACUCGAGCCAGAAGCAAGCAACUCAAAGAAGCCAUUGGAGGAUUACUUAAGACAUCACUGAAGCAAGAAGAGAGUCUUGGAAGAAGCUUGAUCAACCAAGACACACUUGCCACAAUUCAAGCCAUCUCAGCUCCAAGAUAGACAUCAAAUGAGCAAGUAACAUAUGUGUGCUCUUUUUCCCUAUCUUUGGUUUUGUCCCACUGGGUUUUCCAAAGAUAGGUUUUUAAUGAGGCCAUAUGUUGCUUUCCUAUCACUCAUUUGAUGAUCUCAGUUCAAGACUUUAUUUUAAUUAUUUAUCUUUGUUAACAUGAAGCAGAAUUAGGCUGCUAGACUUGAGAAUUAGGCUGCUAGACUUGAGAAUUAAGCUGCCAGACUUGAGAACCCUUAUAAGGUUUUAUAAGGUUUUUAUAAGGUUUUAUAAGGUUUAUUUUUAAGGCCCAUUUAGAGACCAAGGAGCCUGUUCCUUGCCUUCUCUAUAAAUAUGUGUCUGAAAACCCUAAUAGAUCUAUCCAAUCUUUAUUUCUAAACUCUUGUUUCUCUCUAGUCGGCCGCAAGCUUGUCUUGUAGAUCUGAGAUUUCUUGAGUCUUUGUUAGUGUGUCAUAUCUAACAAAACCACAAGAGUGAUUGUCUUGGUGUGUCAUAUCCAAGGGAUUCACUUAGGAGUAUCAAGGAGACCUCUCACAUCUCUUUGUGUCACCAUUCAUUCCACAAACCUUGAAGCAGGUUGAGUCUUUGAUUCUCUGUUUGCAAGGAUCUAUCCCAUUCCAACCAGAGAAGCAUCCUAGGAGUGUAUUAUGUGGUAUCAGAGCAACUCUGGCUAGGGAAGUUCUCGUUUUCUUUAAGUUUUCACUCAAAUCUGUCUCUUGGUUUCAUAACUAUUGAAAGAUCUGAGUUUUGUUGUGUUGUUUCUGUCGAUUUGAUUCACUCUGAGUUCAGUAUUGCUAGAUCUGUUGCUGUGUGUUUUUAAAUUGAUAGAUCUGAAAGUUUCUAUUUUAGAUCUGUGAUAGAUCCGAUCAUCUCUUGUUGUUUCUUUGAUAGAUCUGUGUUUCUAUUGUUGAAAUCUGAUAAAUCUGAGUGUUUUGAUCAUAAAUCUGUUGAAGUCAUUUCAUAUACUCUUUGAUUUCGUGUUGAUCUAUAUUUCUUGUGAAGAAAUCUAUCGAAAUAGGGUUGUUUAAUCUUAUUCCUGGUAUUAGACUCUUCGGAUCCUUGUUGAAGAAGUUUCAGAUUUGUUUUGUUGAAUUGAAUCUGAUAAUUAUUGAGAAAUCGAUCUGUUCUUGUCUUUGGUUGAGUUCGAAAUUGAUCAGAGAAGUUAAAGGUUUGAUUUUUGUCGUUUGAUCAGUUUAUGUUUGGUUCAAAAUUGAUCGUUUCUUUUCUUGUGGUUAUUUGUUUCUGAUUAUCAACUUAUUUUAUUUAGAAUUGAAUUUCAAUUUGUAUCUGUCUCUGUUACAAGUUGAUUGUUUGUUUUCUUUAGAACUUGUUACUGCUGUGUGUUGUUUUCUGUUUCAGGUACCAUGGCAGGUGAUCAGAAAGGAAAACUUACUGAGGAUGAAAGGUUUAUACUUGAAGCAAUGACUACGAGAAUGGAGAAGAUGAUGGACUCCAAACUUGAAUCUUUUCGCCAUGAGCUACAUUCAUCCAAGAAUCAAAGGCAGAAAAGAACAAGAAAAGAAGAAACCAAGAUGGCUGAUUAUGAGAAAAAAAUCAGUAGCAUUGACAAGGAGAUUAUUAACAUCAUCAAGCAUUUAGACAAGCAGAAGAAGCUCAUAAAGCAUCAAGAAUCAGUUUCUACUGUCUCAAAACUUAAAGCUGCAGAACCAGACUUAGCUGCACCUAUCCAAGAAGAUCAGGCCAAAGUAUCUGCUCCUGUCAUUCAAAAAGAAAAGAAACCAGUUCAAGAGGUCAUGGUUCCUAUCAUACAGAAGGUGAUAGAAGAGGAGGCACCCACUGAACCACAAGAAGAUCAUGGAAUGAAUAAGCUGAUUGUCUUUGAUCCAUCUGAUUUUCAAAGGACUUUCUUGAGUACUUUUUUCAUCAGUCCUUUUGUUUGGAACAAGACCAGAGCAGUGGAGCUUUCAAGACACGAAAUGGGCAUGAAGCAUGUUGUAUUUGAGCCUGGAGGAAAGCUGUGUAGUCUCAGGAAAAAGAACCAACUAAUUGAAAAGGAAUCAGCUGCAGCAACAUUUGAUUUUGUUAAUUUCUCAACCUCUGAAGAUAAGGUGUUGCACGCCUCAGCUCAACAGGAAUUUCACUACGAAACCAAUUGGAAAAGGUUACCCACUCUGUCCUGGUUCCAGCAAACCAGAAAGCGCAGCAAAUGGCCACCUGAUCAUCAAGAUAUUACUAGAUUGGCAAAACAUAUCGGUUUGAAUUCAUUCCGAGAGAUGUCUAUGUCUGAUUGGGUUGGAAGAUUACAGACCUACCUGUGGAGACCUGGAGCGUAUGUCAGCAUAUUUAUCUUCCUUGGAGAGCACUCUGUCCGUUCUAGAAUCAUCUUGGGUAAUAAUGAGUUGGAAGCUGAUCAAAACUCCUUGCUUCUCGGCCAUAUCAAGAUAUGGAAACCACCUGAUAUGCAGCAGCUUCAGCACCAUUACAGAGACUAUCAAACCAUGAGUGGAGAUGGAAGAUUCACUGGAGAGAAUGGUGAAGUGAUUACUGGAUCAGGAGAAGAACUCAUAUUUUCUUCUCAAAUCAAGGAGAAACUACCAGAUCAACAUAGCUUACAACAAACUCCAAAGCAACCAAUCCAAGGUCAAACUCUUUUGAGGUCUACACUUUUCAAAAAUAGGAGCUAUAAUAAUCAGAGUACCAGUGAUGAAUUCUUGGCUAAAUUGGGGAUGCAACAAGAAAACCUUGGAAGCUGUCUAGCCGCCAGACUUGACAUAGGAUCAGUCCGAGGAUCAUAUCUCAACAACCACAAGGAAUUAAGCAACGAAACAAACUGCAAUGGAAACCUAACUCAUCAGGGUCUCACGUCGAAUUGGAAUCAUGUCCAAAGCUUCUCAGGUGAGAGAGUUAUGGGUUCUACCACUCAGGUGAUCCUCUGUGUGCUUUAUUUGAAUUUUUCUAAGUUUAUAAAAUCUCAAUCCUAUCUAUGGCGACCAGGUGAGUAUGCAAGGGUAAGUAAUUAUGUUUUCAAGAAUUAUUUUAUUGAUUACACAGAUAUGAUGCACUUGUUUUUGUCAAAAGAGCCAUGUGCAGAUUAUAAGGAAGCUUGGAAGCAAUCAAGGAGAAAGAACAAGCAUGAGGAAGACAAUCGGUUCAAGCCACCUGAUCUGAACAAGAACCAACAUGUCCCUGGUUUUAUCCUCAUCAAAGAAGCUCCCCCAGAUGCAGCCUACAAUCCAAAACUGAGCAAAAACCGAUUUGGGAUAAGACUCUUACUCUUUGAUAAAUUUUCAUUUGCUAACUUGUUGUGUUUCAAUGAGUUUGAAUCAGGUUUUAGGAAUGCAUCAGGAGUAUGGAGAGCCCAACGUAUCAGUUCCUUCUACCAAUCAAAUCCAGUCAGCAACAAUGCCUAUCAAAGAGGCUUGCAAGGUAAGUGUAAUCUGAUUAUCAACGUUAAUGUUACUGACUUGGCUCCUUUUGUUGCAAAUGAGAUAGAUUUGAGGACAAAUCCUUUUCAAGAGGGAGGGGAUGAUAUGAUCAUGGACCAGCCAAACAAAGAAGAUAAUGAGAGCAUGGAUGAUCCAACUGAUGGAGGAGCUCUAGCCAUAUCUGAAGGUCCUAUGACUCGAGC
This 3942-nucleotide long non-coding RNA is filed under the name Brassica napus (rape). RNAcentral's name for it is "long non-coding RNA (BNAP_LNC012187)". The record is from RNAcentral. Lineage: Eukaryota; Viridiplantae; Streptophyta; Magnoliopsida; Brassicales; Brassicaceae.